RNAcentral lists this ribosomal RNA (498 nucleotides) under uncultured bacterium. RNAcentral's name for it is "partial 16S ribosomal RNA". It matches the Rfam family "Bacterial small subunit ribosomal RNA", at positions 28 to 507 of the family's 1533-position model. The record is from RNAcentral.
GACGAACGCUGGCGGCGUGCCUAAUACAUGCAAGUCGAACGAGAGCGACCGGUGCUUGCACUGGUCAAUCUAGUGGCGAACGGGUGAGUAACACGUGGGUAACCUGCCCAUCAGAGGGGGAUAACAUCCGGAAACGGAUGCUAAAACCGCAUAGGUCUUCGAGCCGCAUGGCUUGAAGAGGAAAAGAGGCGCAAGCUUCUGCUGAUGGAUGGACCCGCGGUGCAUUAGCUAGUUGGUGAGGUAACGGCUCACCAAGGCCGUGAUGCAUAGCCGACCUGAGAGGGUGAUCGGCCACAUUGGGACUGAGACACGGCCCAAACUCCUACGGGAGGCAGCAGUAGGGAAUCUUCCGCAAUGGACGCAAGUCUGACGGAGCAACGCCGCGUGAGUGAAGAAGGUUUUCGGAUCGUAAAACUCUGUUGUUAGAGAAGAACAAGUGCUAGAGUAACUGUUAGCGCCUUGAUGGUAUCUAACCAGAAAGCCACGGCUAACUACGUG